Molecule: long non-coding RNA, 213 nt
Filed under: Lynx pardinus (Iberian lynx)
Lineage: Eukaryota; Metazoa; Chordata; Mammalia; Carnivora; Felidae
Source: RNAcentral
GGUGCUCAAUAAUUGCUUGUUGAAAACCUAGAUGAAUGAAUGACGUUCAUGCCAGCCAGCCUCCUUUACUCAAGUGAGGGCUUCUGAAAGCAUGUGUGUAAUCCCGAGCUAUAAAUUGAAUUAUAUUUUUAAAUGCGCUGGGGGACGUGCUAUUUAAAGGAAUUCUGAUGUAAAUCCUUUUUUAUAAAAUGAAGACAUCUUGAGUAAUGUGAA